UACGGGGGGGGCAAGCGUUGUUCGGAAUUACUGGGCGUAAAGGGCUCGUAGGCGGCCAACUAAGUCAGACGUGAAAUCCCCAGGCUCAACCUGGGAACUGCGUCUGAUACUGGAUGGCUUGAAUCCGGGAGAGGGAUGCAGAAUUCCAGGUGUAGCGGUGAAAUGCGUAGAUAUCUGGAGGAAUACCGGUGGCGAAGGCAGGUCUCUGGGCAUUACCUGACGCUGAGGAGCGAAAGUGUGGGGAGCGAACAGG
This 253-nucleotide ribosomal RNA is filed under the name uncultured bacterium. RNAcentral's name for it is "partial 16S ribosomal RNA". It matches the Rfam family "Bacterial small subunit ribosomal RNA", at positions 524 to 776 of the family's 1533-position model. The record is from RNAcentral.